Molecule: ribosomal RNA, 446 nt
Filed under: uncultured bacterium
Lineage: Bacteria
Description: partial 16S ribosomal RNA
Rfam family: Bacterial small subunit ribosomal RNA
Source: RNAcentral
CCUACGGGUAGCAGCAGUCGAGAAUCAUUCACAAUGGGGGAAACCCUGAUGGUGCGACGCCGCGUGGGGGAAUGAAGGUCUUCGGAUUGUAAACCCCUGUCAUGUGGGAGCAAAUUAAAAAGAUAGUACCACAAGAGGAAGAGACGGCUAACUCUGUGCCAGCAGCCGCGGUAAUACAGAGGUCUCAAGCGUUGUUCGGAAUCACUGGGCGUAAAGUGUGCGUAGGCUGUUUCGUAAGUCGUGUGUGAAAGGCGCGGGCUCAACCCGCGGACGGCACAUGAUACUGCGAGACUAGAGUAAUGGAGGGGGAACCGGAAUUCUCGGUGUAGCAGUGAAAUGCGUAGAUAUCGAGAGGAACACUCGUGGCGAAGGCGGGUUCCUGGACAUUAACUGACGCUGAGGCACGAAGGCCAGGGGAGCGAAAGGGAUUAGAUACCCGUGUAGUC